RNAcentral lists this microRNA precursor (97 nucleotides) under Felis catus (domestic cat). RNAcentral's name for it is "mir-544 microRNA precursor family". It matches the Rfam family "mir-544 microRNA precursor family". Lineage: Eukaryota; Metazoa; Chordata; Mammalia; Carnivora; Felidae. The record is from Rfam by way of RNAcentral. RNAcentral also lists the same sequence under 1 other name.
AUCACCUGGGGAUCUUGCUAAAAUGUAUAUUCUGAUUCAGUAGGUUUAGGGUAGGCCUAAGAUUCUGCAUUUUUAACAAGCUCCCAAGUGAUGCUGA